Molecule: ribosomal RNA, 459 nt
Filed under: uncultured bacterium
Lineage: Bacteria
Description: partial 16S ribosomal RNA
Rfam family: Bacterial small subunit ribosomal RNA
Source: RNAcentral
CCUACGGGAGGCUGCAGUGAGGAAUAUUGGUCAAUGGGCGCGAGCCUGAACCAGCCAAGUCGCGUGAGGGAAGACGGUCCUAUGUAUUGUAAACCUCUUUUGUCGGGGAGCAAAAGACGCCACGCGUGGCGUUCCGAGAGUACCCGAAGAAAAAGCAUCGGCUAACUCCGUGCCAGCAGCCGCGGUAAUACUGAGGAUGCGAGCGUUAUCCGGAUUUAUUGGGUUUAAAGGGUGCGCAGGCGGAAGAUCAAGUCAGCGGGAAAAUUGAGAGGCUCAACCUCUUCGAGCCGUUGAAACUGGUUUUCUUGAGUGAGCGAGAAGUAUGCGGAAUGCGUGGUGUAGCGGUGAAAUGCAUAGAUAUAACGCAGAACUCCGAUUGCGAAGGCAGCAUACCGGCGCUCAACUGACGCUCAUGCACGAAAGUGUGGGUAUCGAACAGGAUUAGAUACCCCUGUAGUC